UUUAUUUUUUAUUUCUCUGUUUAGUUUUUCUACACUUCUUUGCAUUAAGUAGAGCCACCAAUGCUUUUUGUAAAACAAGAAACUUGCCAGAUCAAAUACUAGGCAUUAUUUAGUAUUGCCACAAAAAGGUUGGGUGAUCAUUUGAAUUCAUUUGGAUUUUUCAUAAAUGAAAAUGGAUUAAUGGGGCUGUUUUGGUCACUGAUUUAAUUAUUUUAGGGUAUUCAAAUACUUCUAGAAAUGUUGGUUUCUCCACCAUUAUUACUUAGGAUUUAUUUGUCACAUUUAGCACAUUUUAGUUUUUUAUGUUUGAAAACUUUUAUCGUUUAACUUUAUUUUAAAUUUGAAUUCAAACGGGACUUGAUUCACCGCGAGACUAACAACGGUAACCGUGGUGACGUGGCAUCAUUAGUAGAGGGUUACUGUAGCUUAACUAUCCGGGCGUCACAAUUCUCCUCCACUACAAGAAAUCUCGUCCCGAGAUUUAAGGGGGAAGUAAGGGGAAGGGAUUUAGUUAGGAAUUCUAACGAGUCUUCUCGGUCUUGUUUGCUCUUCUUGAAGAGGUCGAUCCAUACGUUCAUGCUUUUUUUUCUCUCUUUUUUUUGGCUCCAGGUCAUCAUGAUGAAGUCGGCAUCCUUUCUUCGGGAACUCCAUCGUACUUACGAAAGAAUAAAGGGUGGGUAUAUUCCGGGAGAACGGACCUCUGCAAGGUUGACUAUCUGGUAGCUAACAACAGGGAAGGUGGCGGAAAGUAACCCUCGAACUGAAACUUAAGAAAAUAUCGAGAGUAAGUAAGCAGGUACCAUGAGAAGUUUCAAGCAGGUAGGCAAUCGUUCGAUGCCUGAACAAAGUGUGAAAGGGUUCUAGAGCAACGAGAAUAAGUAUUGCGUCUGAUACCAGAAUAGAGCACUAGGAAGGUGGCCCGUGAAUUAAAUAUGAAGCCAAACGUGAGGAAUAACCAAUAGAAACAAGGUUGUACAGGAGAGUCAGGUUUCGAUCAUGUGGAACUGUGGGUUAUGGGCCCACCACGCGGUUAAAAUAGAAAGGGGGGCAGACAUCUUGCACGGUCAUGAUAGCAAGGCAUGUCAGAGGCUAGCCUGUCAGUUAUGUCGGCAACAACAUCGAUACCAAGGGCGAGGGACGGAGAGAACCAUUUUCCUGCUCGUUGAACGAGGCAGACCAAUAGGCAAAGUUCUCGUCCAUCGGUGGUUACCGGGAUGCUAUCAACAAUGGUAGCAUGGUCUUACUGACAGAGUUGUACAACGAGGUGCUUACUAAGCAGGGAAUUAUCACUGCUCAGUUAAGUCAGAUUACAAGAAAGCUUAAACAAGACAAUGGAAAGGAAAAUGCGAUUAUCAGGUUUAAACAGAACAAUGGAAAUGAAAAUGUGUAUACACACAUAUUUCGGGGGUAUAUCCUUCCCAAGGACAAGCGGAGCAUGAUAUCCAUGACAGGAUAGAAAGUAGAAAACCAUUUAGGUAAGGGGGGAAUCUCAUGAUAUUACCCAUACAACGGUGUUAGGAUAAAUGAUAAAGAAAAUUUAGCAUUGUGCUUCAAAUGCUCUUAUUGAAAAUCGGAUUACCACAGACAUGCUUCGAGAUAGCAUUGACAUGCUCAUCAAUUAAGGUUCAGAAUUUGGAUGCACAAAGGAUCCAUCAGGAACAACUUGUAGAAUAAGUUUUACAAUUUCCUCAUGAAAGAAUGGAUAACCUUGCUGAAAAGGAAACUAUAACAAUAGUCCUCCAAUCAGGUGUGCUAGGCAUGACAUCACCUUACCGGGUCAUAUAAGACCAACGUUAUAACUCUUGGAUAUAUGUUCCAACCAUCAUAUCUGACCGAGAUUUAGAUCUGAUUGGUGUCAGAAUACCUCAGACUCAGGAUGUCUAAGAAGAAAGGUAAAACACAAAUUGACGGAAUGACAUUGUAAGAUUCUCGGGAAUGAACUAUGGAAGCGAGUUCCGAAACAAGAGUUCAUCAGUAAACCAAGGAGAGGAUGAGGAGGUGGCUGAUGGACUCAGCAACAAUUCAUCGAGAAUUGCAAAGGAUGGAUUUCCACAAUUAUGUGAACAAGGAGAUAGCAUUUGUCAGAUCAAAUGAUAUAGUGAGAUAUGCUCGAGGAAAACAUACCCAAUUAAACAUCAGUUGAAAGGUGCAGCCGAAAUAUGGGCUUAUGUAGCAUGACUGAUGUUAGAAUGGUGAUUCGAUAACCAAUGCACAAGGAAUGAAACUAUCGUUCAUUAUCUUACAAGCAAUAAGGUUGCUAGUAAUUUUGGAUUCACACAUCAUAGUUAAAUGGCUGGUAUCCUGGUUAGAAUCAACACGCGGACCAAGAUAUGAACGGAGAUGGCAAGAAGUAUUACUAUAUCAAGAAUUAUUAAGAGGUGGUGAAAUUCUCACAACCUUCUUGACAUAAAAGAUGGUAAUACUCCAAGGUAGAACAUAACAUAAGUUGGAUAGCAAGGAUCUCAAGGUACAACACAAAACAUGAACAAGUUUGUGUUGGAGGGAAAGCAAUAAUGUUGUCGAUGAUAACACAACUCAUUGAGGGGCAAGGAUGGUACUUGCCAUCAUGAAUUUGAUUGAUAUACUGGAAGGAGUCAAAAUGUGAUGAUCAUGACAAAUUUUUUCGAGAGGCUCCACGAAGAAGCAAUCGAACAACGACUGCAUCAAGCAAAAGGAGUGUUGUAGCAAAAGAUUUUUGGAACCACGGAUACGUCUCCAACUCGAAAUCGAGCUUGCUGUUCGAGGUGAAACGAUAAGACAAGGAAGAUCGACGUAAGCUUAGCUCAUCGCCCAAAGUGGUGCUCUGGAAAUAAGGACCAGGUAGCACAGUUCAAAUCAGCACGAUACUGAUAUAGCCGACCAGGCUAGAAAUGACGUGAUCGAGUACAAACUCGUAAGUAAAGAAGAUUACUAAUAGUUGUUUAAUCACGAUGCGGACUCGAUUCAGUUAUCGGUGUCCUUGAGUGUUUAAUGACCCAGAGCCCGUGAAAAAAAUUGAAAUCAGUGAGAAUGUAUUACUUGAUGGAGAACUCAUAAGAUGUUAUGUAGUUCCGUGAUAUUCUCGAGAUACCAUAGGGGAAUACUCGAAGGUUGAGCAGAAUCGAGGUUGGGCAGGCACAUUGAUCUGCAUAAGACAAGCGAUUUAACUUUUCCGAGAAAUGGGACCAAAGAAAAACAAUCAUGGUCGGAACCACGGUUGCAAAGGACCAAGCAUAGGUAAGAGAAGAAGUUAUCACAAGGGGAUUAUUAUUACUACAAGAAGCUUCCAUGAUAAGUUCCACCUCGGGUCCAUGGGCAUGAACACAAAGUUCAAGGUCGACUCCCACUACUCCAAAGCAUAACCUUACAUUCACUUCUCGUUUCGAUAAUGGCAUUAGUGUUGAAAGUCUUACCUGGUGAAAUACCAGAUGAGUAUGACCCGUGAAAACUUCCGAGUUCACACAUAUUAAGGAAGGCAUAGGUUCAACCCGUCAGGGUAUCGUGGAAACAUAUACCACAAGUUUCAAUAGUAAAAGCCACCAGCUCGAAAACAGAGCAUGGUUGAGAAAAUAGAGGAUACAAUUUACCCAAGGCUUUAUAUAUCCGUGGAAAGGCUCACAAGGUUAUUUGAAUAUGAAGGACACUGUCGGAUAAUAAUCCAACAAGAGGUCCGGUGGUCUACAACGGAGCUGAUGUGAGUAUCGGUACUCUAUCAAAGGAAGAAGGAAUGCAAGUGCAUCGGAUUAUAGAAACAACUGACUAACUCAAAGCUUAAAUGCAAAGGAAUUAUGAAUUCCAAGACAAGGGAUCAGAAGCAAUGCUCUGAUUAGGGAUGGAUAAGUCGGGUAGACUUAGGGGUACAAUUGAUGACAAUUUGUUUGGUCGAGAUCCAGCUCAUGUUUAAAAUGAUGUCUGAGCCGGAAGGGUGAAUUCUAUGAUUCGGUUGAGGAUUGUAAGCAACCGCAACAUACUGAAUCAACAGAUUAAAAAUGAUAAUGACAAAGGAUGUCAAUAAGAUUACUAGACUUAUGGGAUUGACCAUAAUGCAAGUAAGCAAGAAUUUCAAGAGCAAAAGGCUCCUGAGGAUUUUCGGAAGAUCGAAUGGUAUUUUGAAGACUUUUGUAAAACACAUGAACAACUAGGGAUGAGCGAUUACUCGACAAGUGCGAGGAUUUAUCCGUAGGGGUAUUCACGUGACAAAGAACUGCAAGUCGGUAGGCACCAAGUAUUCUCGGAACAAUAGAGAGUAUUUCGGGGUAUCUGGUAAUAAGAAGAUCAUCGGGGGAUGAUUGUAUGAAUGACAAAUGUACGUGGUCAUCCAUAGGGGUUUAUUGAUGGAUGGGAAUUGCAAAAGCGACGGGCACAAGGCCUCGAGAGAACAUCGAAGAGUAUCUUUGAAAUCUUCUGGGCACUAAGCAAUCAUCUGGAGUGAGGGGCUCUCCGGGAGUAAGUAGUUACGAGAACCUACAGUCAGAGUUAGUAAAAAAUCAUUUAACCCGAAUAGAAGAGAGAUCAGAGUCCCGGAGUAUAGACAAGGAGUAAAAGAUCCUAAUACCACCCGAUGGCGACGUGGGCCCGUAAGCCACACAGCCAUGUUAGUAAAAGUUUUGCAAUGUCUAGACUCGACUUCGACCAAGAAGUAUGGAAGGGGGAUUCCUACAGGCAGUCGGCUCUGAUACCAACUUGUAACGCCCCCGAUUCAAUCGUACACUAAUCAUGCACGCAAACGUGUACGAUCAAGAUCAGGGACUCACGGGAAGAUAUCACAACACAACUCUAAAACAUAAAUAAGUCAUACAAGCAUCAUAAUACAAGCCAGGGGCCUCGAGGGCUUGAAUACAAGUGCUCAAUCAUAGACGAGUCAGCGGAAGCAACAAUAUCUGAGUACAAACAUAAGUUAAACAAGUUUGCUUUAAGAAGGCUAGCACAAACUGGGAUACAGAUCGAAAGAGGCGCAAGCCUCCUGCCUGGGAUCCUCCUAAACUACUCCUGGUCGUUGUCAGCGGCCUGCACGUAGUAGUAGGCACCUCCAGUGUAGUAAGAGUCACCGUCAACGGUGGCGUCUGGCUCCUGGGCUCCAACAUCUGGUUGCGACAACCAGGUAGAAGGGAAAGGGGGAAAAGAGGGAGAAAAGCAACCGUGAGUACUCAUCCAAAGUACUAGCAAGCAAGGAGCUACACUACAUAUGCAUGGGUAUAUGUGUAAAGGGCCAUAUCGGUGGACUGAACUGCAGAAUGCCAGAAUAAGAGGGGGAUAGCUAAUCCUGUCGAAGACUACGCUUCUGGCCACCUCCAUCUUGCAGCAUGUAGGAGAGAGUAGAUGGUAAGUUCACCAAGUAGCAUCGUAUAGCAUAAUCCUACCCGGCGAUCCCCUCCUCGUCGCCCUGUUAGAGAGCGAUCACCGGGUUAUAUCUGGCACUUGGAAGGGUGUGUUUUAUUAAGUAACCAGUUCUAGUUGUCAUAAGGUCAAGGUACAACUCCGGGUUGUCCUUUUACCGAGGGACACGGCUAUUCGAAUAGAUAAACUUCCCUGCAGGGGUGCACCACAUAACCCAACACGCUCGAUCCCAUUUGGCCAGACACACUUUUCUGGGUCAUGCCCGGCCUCAGAAGAUCAACAUGUCGCAGCCCUACCUAGGCACAAUAGAGAGGUCAGCACGCCGGUCUAAAUCCUAUGGCGCAGGGGUCUGGGCCCAUCGCCCAUUGCACACCUGCACGUUGCGAGGGCGGCCAAAAGCAGACCUAGCCUAGCAGGCGUUCCAGUCCAAUCCGGCGCGCGCCGCUCAGUCGCUGACGUCACGAAGGCUUCGGCUGAUACCACGACGCCGAGUGCCCAUAACUGUUCCCGCGUAGUUGGUUAGUGCGUAUAGACUACCAAGAUCUCGUUAAGCGUGUUAAGUAUCCGCGAACGCCGACCAGGGCCAGGCCCACCUCUCUCCUAGGUGGUCUCAACCUGCCCUGUCGCUCUGCCACAAAGUAACAGUCGGGGGCCGUCAGGAACCUAGGCCCACCUCUACCGGGAUGGACCACCUGUCCUUUCAGCCCCCUCAUCAGAACCACUUGCGGGUACUCAACGAGCUGACCCGACUUUAGUCACCACAUGUGUCAUGUAUAUAAAGUAUAUAGAAUAUACCCAUGAUCACCUCCCGAAGUGAUCACGGCCUAGUAGUAUAGCAUGGCAGACGGACAAGAGUGUAGGGCCAUUGAUGGAACACUAGCAUCCUAUACUAAGAAGUAGGAUAGCAGGUAAGGGUAACAACUGUAGCAACAAUGACAGGCUAUGCAACAGAAUAGGAUUAACCGAAAUUAGUAACAUGCUACACUACUCUAAUGCAAGUAGUAUAGAGAAGAAUAGGCGAUAUCUGGUGAUCAAGGGGGGGGGCUUGCCUGGUUGCUCUGGCAAGGAGGGGUCAUCAACACUGUAGUUGAAAUGGGGGUCGCCGGUAGUCUCAGGGUCUACCGAAAAGAAGUAACGGAGGGGGAACACAAUAAAUAACAGAGCAAUCAAAAGCAUCACAAAGCAAGACAUGGCAAUACAUAGUGCUAGGGGUGACCUAACGCAAUGCUAGGAGAUAUAGGUGAAGGGGAAAACAUCCGGGAAAGUAUCCCCGGUGUUUCGCGUUUUCGGACAGUUGAACCGGAGGGGGAAAGUUGCGUGUUUGCUAUUCUAGCGAUGUGUGGCGGACAAACGGGCUGCGUAUCCGGAUUCGUCUCGUCAUUCUGAGCAACUUUCAUGUACAAGGUAUUUUCAUCCGAGUUACGGUUUAUUUUCUAUUAAUUUUCAAAGUUAUAAUAAUUGUUUGAAUUUAUUAUUAAUCCGAAUUACAACAGUAAGCUGCUAUGUGUACCCGUUAUGGACUAGUCACAUUGGCUUACAGGUGGGGGCAGUGGGCCUGGUUGACCCAGUCAACAAUUGAUUGGUCGACAGGUGAAUAGUAACAGGGGUCCCGCAUGUCAUAGGCUUGGCCAUUUUCAAAUAGAUUUAACCUUCUAAUUAUCAGCAGGGUCCACUUGUCAUAGGAUACAACUAAAACAAAACUAAAAUAGUCUAACAGGAGCUUGUUUUAGUUGGGGAUUAGCACCUAAUCUAAACAAAGGGGCCGGCCCCAACAUGCAUUAGCCCAAGGCCAUGGCUGUGACGCACGCACGGGCACAGAGGCCACGGCGGCCAAAGCUAGCAGCGGCAGUAAGCUAAGAAGCAGCAACGCUAGGAGCGCCGGCGGCGUUAGCAUCAGAAGCAAUGCGGGCAGCAGCGGCAAGGCAACACCCGACCAGGCGCGCGCGCAGCAAGCAGCAGUGCAGCAGGAGCAGCAGCUACGGAAGCAGGGGCACAGCCUAGGCGGACAUACGCGCACGAGGGCGCAGCCUGGUGUGCGCCCGGUGCGACAAAGGGACGGCCAGGGGGCACACGGGAGCGGGGCAGGAGCAGCAUGCGGAGGGGGGAAGGCGACCGACUAGCAGGGCGCGCGGGAGCACAGCCACGGGCGCCCGCGGCCACGGCGACCUUUAACUACGGCGGAACGGCGACGGAUCGGAGGGGGAACGAGGGGAAUGGGAGUGGUGCUCACGAGGGGAGGCGGAGGAUGCGGCCGGCGUGGCGGAGGAGCUCCGGUGAGGUAGAUCGGGCGUCGGGCAGCGACGGCCGUUGGCGAGGAAGAUGCGUCGAUCCCGUCUGUGAGGUGCCGCCGAGCUCGAGGUGGUGGUCGGAGAGGACGAGGCGGACGACGGCGAGGCUCCUGGCGCGGUCCUAGGCGGUGGGGGCGAUAGUGAGCACGUAGACGGCGGCGGCCAUGAUGACGGUGGCGGCAGUCUAAUGCGGGGGACGAAGAGAGUGGCGCGUGGGGGACGAAUGAGGUAGCUAGGGUUCCGUCGGGGGUGUCGAGGUGCGGCGUUAUCCACCCAGGGAGCCGCGGGAUGGCCGACAGCGCAACAUCCAAGACGUGGACGGCGUGCGAGCAUUGCCAGCGCCAUGGCCUCCCUCUUCUGUUCAAGUGGUAGGAAAAAAGCCCACUGGUGGGUUGGGCCUUCUGUAGUACUGGGCUUUUAGGUGAACAGUGUUAGGCUUUAACUUUUCUUCUCUUUUAUUUUUUUAUUUCUCUGUUUAGUUUUUCUACACUUCUUUGCAUUAAGUAGAGGCACCAAUGCUUUUUGUAAAACAAGAAACUUGCCAGAUCAAAUACUAGGCAUUAUUUAGUAUUGCCACAAAAAGGUUGGGUGAUCAUUUGAAUUCAUUUGGAUUUUUCAUAAAUGAAAAUGGAUUAAUGGGGCUGUUAUGGUCACUGAUUUAAUUAUUUUAGGGUAUUCAAAUACAUCUAAAAAUGUUGGUUUCUCCACCAUUAUUAUUUAGGAUUUAUUUGUCACAUUUAGCACAUUUUAGUUUUUUUAUGUUUGAAAACUUUUAUCGUUUAACUUUAUUUUAAAUUUGAAUUCAAACGGG
Molecule: long non-coding RNA, 8415 nt
Filed under: Triticum aestivum (bread wheat)
Lineage: Eukaryota; Viridiplantae; Streptophyta; Magnoliopsida; Poales; Poaceae
Description: long non-coding RNA (TAES_LNC023927)
Source: RNAcentral